This 358-nucleotide long non-coding RNA is filed under the name Malus domestica (apple). Its description in RNAcentral is "long non-coding RNA (MDOM_LNC003540)". Lineage: Eukaryota; Viridiplantae; Streptophyta; Magnoliopsida; Rosales; Rosaceae. The record is from RNAcentral.
GUUCUCCGUGUUCUUACGUCCAAACACUUCCAACGAACUACUCCAAACCUCCUAAGGACCUCAAGAAGCUUCCUAUAAGCUUGAAAAGUCCUAAAAAUCAACCAAUAAAAAGUUGAUGAAUAGUACCUAAACCGGAGUUCGUAUUUUCGACGUGAAAACGUUAUAGUUCUUACCUGAAAUUGGUAUGGUUGGACUCGUAUCGUCGAAACGAAGAAGAUGGUGAUUUUUCUUCGUCGAUCUAUGAAGUUUUGAUGAACUUGUUGUUUGGUCCGUGGGUUUUGAGAGAAGGAGAGAGAGAGCUUGAGAGCUUGACGGGAGAGAAUGAGAGUUGAGUUUGAGGGAGCUGAGGGAAAAUAAA